RNA transcript from Melanotaenia boesemani (Boeseman's rainbowfish), 1664 nucleotides. It is a transcript of the gene named coiled-coil domain containing 167, with no coding region annotated. Lineage: Eukaryota; Metazoa; Chordata; Actinopteri; Atheriniformes; Melanotaeniidae. The record is from RefSeq and is a predicted model, not a curated record. The transcript is spliced from 5 exons.
GAAGAAGAAGAAGAAGAAGAAGAAGAAGCAGAAGAAGAGGACUUCCGCAGAGUCAUACAAUCCAUUAGCCAGUUACUGCGAUCAUUUAUUGUUUCAUUUACAAAAUGGUUAAAUUGAAAGACAAGAAACGAGAGAAAAUCAGUAUAGCCACUGAGAUUGACCGUUUGGAGGAGAAACGAGCGAGGUGCAGCGACAACUUGGAGAGAGCGGAAUUCAAGAGCAGGAAGGAAAGGCUGGCUGAGAAGGAGAGACAAGAACUGGAAGAUGAAAUGGCAAUCAUAAGUGAGCGGGUGCAAAAGCUGGACAAGGAGCUGGAGUCACUUAGAGGCGAGAACAGGAGGAACAUGCUGCUGUCAGUCGCUCUUCUGGCUGUCAGCGCUCUCUUCUACUACAUCUUUUUCUACAGUGAGAAUGACGCAUGACACCACCAAGAAACUCAAAGGAACCUUCUAGUCUUAAUAAGCUCAGGACAGCGUUGUUAUGAGGACUUGAUUGUGGACACAAGAGCUUCAUCUCAUUGUCACUUUGUGCCUCCUCGUCGUUUCCUCUCUUCUCAGCCUUCCUGGCGGUGAUUUAGAGGGUGAUGUCAGCUAAAACAUUUUGAAGGAUCACACAAUUUCCAAACUGCGUAUGAGGGAGAGAACAAAUUUGCUGGUGGAGCUAAAAGAUACAAUGGUGCAUCCAUGUCUUUUCAGUAACUGACAUCUGAAGGAGACAAAGCUCAAUAAUCCCAUAUUGUAAAUUGAAUUUAAAGCCAAUAUAUGCCUAGUCAAAUAUACUUUUAAAGCUCCUCUGACAGAAAUAAGACCUAGCAAUAUGCUGUAAAAAAGAAAAAGGUGAAUGAUGCAUCAUGUUUAUCUGAUGCUGAUUUUAAAACGAUGGAUCUUUAUUAUGAAUGUCUCAUUUUAUUUAAUUGCCAUCUUACCUCUUCUCUGCUCAUGUCUUUGUCAACUUCUCUGCUCGAACUUCUGAUGGGAAUGACUAAGACACAAGGAGGGAAGUCGAGGACUUGUGCUGCUGCCUCAGUUCAGCCUCCAGGUGGCAUCUUUGCCUUUUCAUUGUGUUUUGUGUGCAUCAAAUUGGAUUUUAUCCUGUGCACUCAAACCCAUUACAGUUUCAUGAACUGCACAUAUGGACUUGGAACCAUGCUUGAAGCUUGAUAAUUAUUUUGCUUGUUACACCGCAGGCAGUAAUUUCUAUAUGAGCUAAUGUGUAGUGACAAAGAAGCCUUCAGGUUAGAGUUGAUAUCAACUCUGUUACGUUAAGAUAAAGCGAGUGAGCAUCUUUGUUUAAAAACCUUAUUGCUAUUCAACACGUGGCCUCAUUAACUGACUGAAUGUAAAGUUCUGCUUAUGCAAAUCAGUGUGUAAUCACAAAUAUCAAAGAGCUGCAUCAGGAAAUAGUACCAGACGCGUCUGCUUUUCAGUCAUAUGUGUGAAAAUGUGAAUGUAUGAUUAAUGAAAUUUUCUUUAACGCAAGUGUGAGUUGCUGAGAAAUGAAAGUUCUUUCUUUUGUAUAACCAUCCAUACAGCUGUCUCCUAACGAGAGCCUGAGAAAACAUCAAACAUCCACAUAAAUGCUUUGUUUACUAUAAACAGGAGAAGUUGAGGUUGAUUCUUUUUUAUGCAUUUGUUUUUCAUGAAUAAAUUAAAUGCUUUGUAUCA